GCCUUCGUGGUGCAAUGGUCAGCACACUCAGCGUGUAUUCGAGAGGUCCGAGGUUCAAUUCCCGGCAAGAGCA
RNAcentral lists this transfer RNA (73 nucleotides) under Stegodyphus mimosarum. It matches the Rfam family "tRNA". Rfam says of the family: Transfer RNA (tRNA) molecules are approximately 80 nucleotides in length. Their secondary structure includes four short double-helical elements and three loops (D, anti-codon, and T loops). The record is from Rfam by way of RNAcentral. Lineage: Eukaryota; Metazoa; Arthropoda; Arachnida; Araneae; Eresidae.